Molecule: ribosomal RNA, 207 nt
Filed under: uncultured bacterium
Lineage: Bacteria
Description: partial 16S ribosomal RNA
Rfam family: Bacterial small subunit ribosomal RNA
Source: RNAcentral
CGUGUAGGCGGCCUUUUAAGUCUGGAGUGAAAGCCCCAUUUUCAAGGUGGGGAGUGCUUUGGAGACUGGAGAGCUUGAGUGCGGAAGAGGUAAGUGGAAUUCCCAGUGUAGCGGUGAAAUGCGUAGAGAUUGGGAGGAACACCAGUGGCGAAGGCGACUUACUGGGCCGUAACUGACGCUGAGGCGCGAAAGCGUGGGGAGCGAACA